GUCGAAGCUCCCUCGGAUAGGGGUCUCUCGUUUGGUUCUAGAGUGUACAUGUGUGAGGUUUAACGUGUUAUGGUUACCAUCUGGAAUGAUAUGGAUAGGCAUUAUGACUUUAGUUAGGGCACACUCCCCCCACCAUUGCCCAGUUAAUUGGGACCUCAAUUGUUUAUCACCACAUAACCAGUAGAUAUCACCGAUUGUCUUUGUGUGAUUCAUUAGUAGUGAUAUGGGUGGAUUAUGGUAGGUUGGGCAGUAUCCUGAUGGGAAUUUGCCCAGAUACAAACCGGUGUUCUUAGAUAUUGUGUAACAUGUGUAAUUACCUGGGUAGAUGGUGACUCCAUCAGGUGGUUUUACAUGUCCAUGAGUGAUCGGGUAAAUUCUCUUCCAUGAUUCACAUGUUGAGGAGUUGGUGAUGGACUGUGUGUAAAGACUCAGAACACAUGAUUCUACUUCAGGAGGUAAGUUCAGAGGAACUGUGCCCAGAUGGGGCCUGGCUCCUCCACACACGUAGCAAUUAGUCUUAUUGUGUGAGUUGGCAUUAUACCUCAUCCAUUCUAGCCACAAAUUAGUGUCUGAAAAACCAGUCUCCACUGCCAUAGUGUCUUCAAAGGUGGGGUUGGCUAUAGCUACCAUGUCAUGUAGGGUCUUAAUAUGUGGUUUUAAUGGGUUAACAACCAUGUGAGUGGUCCCUACCCAGUCUGGGGAGGUGAGCAUGUCUUGUAGGUAAAAUGUCCCCAGUGCAUUAUGUGAGCCACCUCCCUUCCAGUACAUCCCCAUCACAUAUUCCCCCGCGUCCCUUGGACUAGGGUGUUCUAUAUUCAGGGUAAGUUUAAUGGGAGUUGACCCUGUGGGUUUACUCAGAGUCAUUCUAGAAAGUAGGGGCUUCUCGUCUUUGUCAAGUCUAUCCAGUGCAACCUGAGGUCUGUAGCCCCAUGGUCUACCUGUAUUCCACCCGGCAGCUUUCCAUGAACUACAAUGGUGUCCCCAAGCUCCUCCAGUCACACAAAUGUAUGGGUCCUUUUUUGUUAGGUAUGUCUUUGUAUAUGGCUGCAUGUUGUGUCUGUGGGAAUGUACAGGUAACUAUGUCACAGUAAUCAAAGGUGUAUGUGGCUACAUCAGUAUUAGAAGAAUUGUACCAGAAAGUGUAAACAUGAUUAUCUUUGGUUAUGGCCACUUGUUGGGCCCAGGCAAAGUGCAACAACAUAAGAAAACACAAGACACAUAAUAAAUUCAUGUUUCAACAGGAUCAGCUUCUUCUGGAGCAGGCACUUUUUUGCAAUGUGAAGCGUGUAUCCAGGAACUUUUCCCAGC
Non-coding RNA from Pelobates cultripes (western spadefoot toad), 1308 nucleotides. The record is from the annotation of a GenBank genome assembly. Lineage: Eukaryota; Metazoa; Chordata; Amphibia; Anura; Pelobatidae.